RNAcentral lists this ribosomal RNA (253 nucleotides) under uncultured bacterium. RNAcentral's name for it is "partial 16S ribosomal RNA". It matches the Rfam family "Bacterial small subunit ribosomal RNA", at positions 524 to 776 of the family's 1533-position model. The record is from RNAcentral.
UACGUAGGGGGCAAGCGUUAUCCGGAAUUACUGGGUGUAAAGGGAGCGUAGACCGUAAUGUAAGUCUGGAGUGAAAGGCGGGGGCCCAACCCCCGGACUGCUCUGGAAACUAUGUUACUAGAGUGCAGGAGAGGUAAGCGGAAUUCCUAGUGUAGCGGUGAAAUGCGUAGAUACUAGGAGGAACACCAGUGGCGAAGGCGGCUUACUGGACUGUAACUGACGUUGAGGCUCGAAAGCGUGGGGAGCAAACAGG